Molecule: ribosomal RNA, 567 nt
Filed under: uncultured archaeon
Lineage: Archaea
Description: bacterial SSU rRNA
Rfam family: Archaeal small subunit ribosomal RNA
Source: RNAcentral
CGCGAUUCGCCCUUCGGGGUGCAGCAGGCGCGAAAACUUUACAAUGCUGGCAACAGCGAUAAGGGGACCUCGAGUGCCAGGUUACAAAUCUGGCUGUCGUGAUGCCUAAAAAGCAUUGCAUAGCAAGGGCCGGGCAAGACCGGUGCCAGCCGCCGCGGUAACACCGGCGGCUCGAGUGGUAACCGUUAUUAUUGGGUCUAAAGGGUCUGUAGCCGGCCGGAUAAGUCUCUUGGGAAAUCCAGCAGCUCAACUGUUGGGCUUUCAGGAGAUACUGUCUGGCUCGAGGCCGGGAGAGGUGAGAGGUACUUCAGGGGUAGGGGUGAAAUCUUGUAAUCCUUGAAGGACCACCAGUGGCGAAGGCGUCUCACCAGAACGGACCUGACGGCAAGGGACGAAAGCUAGGGGCACGAACCGGAUUAGAUACCCGGGUAGUCCUAGCCGUAAACGAUACUCGCUAGGUGUCGGCCACGGUGCGACCGUGGUCGGUGCCGUAGGGAAGCCGUGAAGCGAGCCACCUGGGAAGUACGGCCGCAAGGCUGAAACUUAAAGGAAUUGGCGGGGGAGCAC